RNAcentral lists this ribosomal RNA (497 nucleotides) under uncultured bacterium. RNAcentral's name for it is "partial 16S ribosomal RNA". It matches the Rfam family "Bacterial small subunit ribosomal RNA", at positions 28 to 507 of the family's 1533-position model. The record is from RNAcentral.
GAUGAACGCUGGCGGCGUGCCUAAUACAUGCAAGUCGAGCGAACAGACGAGGAGCUUGCUCCUCUGACGUUAGCGGCGGACGGGUGAGUAACACGUGGAUAACCUACCUAUAAGACUGGGAUAACUUCGGGACACCGGCGCUAAUACCGGAUAAUAUAUUGAACCGCAUGGUUCAAUAGUGAAAGACGGUUUUGCUGUCACUUAUAGAUGGAUCCGCGCCGCAUUAGCUAGUUGGUAAGGUAACGGCUUACCAAGGCAACGAUGCGUAGCCGACCUGAGAGGGUGAUCGGCCACACUGGAGCUGAGACACGGUCCAGACUCCUACGGGAGGCAGCAGUAGGGAAUCUUCCGCAAUGGGCGAAAGCCUGACGGAGCAACGCCGCGUGAGUGAUGAAGGUCUUCGGAUCGUAAAACUCUGUUAUUAGGGAAGAACAAAUGUGUAAGUAACUAUGCACGUCGUGACGGUACCUAAUCAGAAAGCCACGGCUAACUACGUG